RNAcentral lists this long non-coding RNA (1985 nucleotides) under Piliocolobus tephrosceles (Ugandan red Colobus). Its description in RNAcentral is "lncRNA (ENSPTEG00000020675.1)". The record is from RNAcentral. Lineage: Eukaryota; Metazoa; Chordata; Mammalia; Primates; Cercopithecidae.
UGAUGAUAAAAAAGAAAGAAUUAAAAAUCGAAAAAGAAGGGGUAAAGCUAUACAAAUAAUAAAACCAAAUGUGAACCAUACAGAAUUAAUAAUAAUAGAAGAGAAUUUAGAAGUGUUAAAAAACAUUGAUAAACCAAUUGCUAUAGUAUCUGUUUUAGGAGAUAUGCAUACAGGUAAAUCUUUUUUACUUAAUUUAUUAAAUGAUUAUGUAGUGGAUGAUAUUAAUAUGGAUAAUAAAAUUAUAGAAAAUGGUUUUAAAGUAGGUAAUGAUAUAACAGCUAGCACAUAUGGUAUAUGGAUAUGGUCAGAACCGAUUAAAAUAAAUGUAAAGAAAUUAAGAGAAUUAUAUAAUUAUAUAGACAAUAAUUUUACUAAUUUUGUUAAAAAUUAUGAAUAUGAAAAAGAUGAAUAUAACGAAGAAAUUAUAGAUUUAUUAAACUUAUAUAAAACAGAUGAUUGGAUCACUAACAUUGACGAUUUAAAAUUAUCCGAAACGGAUGAGGUGAAUCUUAUAUUAAUGGAUACACAAGGUUUAAAUAGUCCUAAUGUAAAUAAAAGAUACGAUGAGAUAUUAUAUGCAUUAACUAAUUUAAUAUCAACAGAUAUUAUUUUUUUAACAAUGAAAAUGAUAAAUAAUAAAGAUUUAGAGUUUAUUGAAAAUAUUACAAAGGAUGCUAAUUUGUUUAUGUUACGAGCUUAUACGAGAUCUAAUGGUUCAACUUUUUCAAUAAAAAAAAAUAAUUUAGAUAUGAUAUUAAAUAACAUGGAUACUAACUUAGAAAAUAAUUCAUUAAUUUUGGAAAGUAUUGCAUCUAAAAAUUUGAUGUGGGUAGUACACGAUUUUAAUCAACGUUUAGAUGUAAGAAAAGGAAAAUUGUGGUUAAACAUUUUAUUAAAUUCAGAUAGAAGAGAUUUAGAUAUUAAAUACUGGAAAAAAAUUAUAUCUAAUAAAAGUAAAGAAAAAUAUGAUGCAUAUACAACAAAACAAAAGAAAAUAGAAUAUUUAACAUAUUCAGAUAACACAGGCCAUAGUGGUGGUGACGUUAAAGAUAAAUUAAAAAACGAAACAUCAAGUAAUUAUAAGUUAGAUGUUCUUUAUAAAAAUAUAGAUUGUAUUUUGUUAAGAACAAUGUACAAUAAUAAAAAUUUUGAUUUUACUAAUGUGAACCUGAGCGAUUUAAACGAUGAAUAUAAAAAUGAUGUUACAUUAUUAAAAUAUAAAAUAUAUUUAAGAGCUUUGUUAUAUCCGAAAAAAAUGUAUACAAAUGUUCAGAUGAAUUAUGCUAUACAUAAGGAUAAAAAAGGGGGCAAUAGUAAUGAAUCUAUUUUUACUACAGAAAAAAACAAAAAAGAUAAUAGUAAUAGUAAUGGUCAGAAUAAAGAUGACACAAAAUUGAAUGGUUCGAAUAUGCGUAAUAGAUAUAUGUCAGGGCAAGAUGUGUAUGAUUUUAUCACCUUUUUAAUUAAAUCGGCUAAUCAAAAUUUAUUUACCAACAUCAAUCAAUUUUUUAAAAAUUUCAAAAUAAAUAGAGCAGAAAUAAGUAGAAACGAUUUAAUUUUUUUAUAUAAAAAAUAUUUAUUACAAUUUAUGGAAAAUGAAGAUGUAAAGUUUUUUAAGCUAUAUGAAUGAAGAGAAUGAAUAUAUAAAUAGUGAUUUGGAAAACAAUUUAAAUAGUGAUAAUGUGAAUGAAAAAAAGUAGUAUGAGCAAUCGAUUUGAAGAAGAAUUAUUUAAUGAAGAUUUUUUAGACGAAAGCGAAAUGUUUAAAAAAUGAAAAGGAUAAAAAAGAUUUAUAUAAAUUACCACCAUUACUUAAUGAAAUAAGAAAAUAUGAAGAAAUAAUUAGAGAACAGAUUUUAAAUAUUUGGUAUAAAUAUACAGAAAGUGAUUUUCAUGAUGAGGAAGAAAAAGAAUUGAUAAAAGAUAUUGAAUCUAAUUUAUAUGACAGAUUAGAUCAAAUAAAACAAGAUAUGUUAGAACUAGGUG